Molecule: long non-coding RNA, 290 nt
Filed under: Sinocyclocheilus grahami
Lineage: Eukaryota; Metazoa; Chordata; Actinopteri; Cypriniformes; Cyprinidae
Description: lncRNA (ENSSGRG00000038073.1)
Source: RNAcentral
CAAAUGAUCUUUUCUAGGCGUGGACUGAAGAGCAGGAAAUCAGAUGAGAAGAGCAGAAGAGAGGAAACCAAAGAGAAAGAAAUACAGACACCAGGAACGAUCAGAAAAAGGAGGCUGCCACAGACAGUGAAUCUGGGGAGUCAUCAGAAGAUAGUGAAAGUGUUCAGAAAAAAAUGGAUUAUUCAUUUAAGAAAGAAGUUGAAGAGGGACCUUCAAAACAUCUGCAGCAGGUAGAUCACUUAAGCAUUGGUUACAAAUUUCUUCAGUGGAAUUAACUUGAAUGUUUGUGU